AGGUCCUGCCUGCCCAGUGACUAUGUUAAACGGCCGCGGUAUUUUGACCGUGCAAAGGUAGCGCAAUCACUUGUCUUUUAAAUGAAGACCUGUAUGAAUGGUGGAACGAGGGCCUAACUGUCUCCCUUUUCAGGUCAAUGAAAUUGAUCUAUCCGUGCAGAAGCGGGUAUAUAAAUACAAGACGAGAAGACCCUUUGGAGCUUAAGAUUAAAAAUCAACUAUGUCAAAUAUUCAUCAAAUAAAACUAAAUAGUAACUGAUCAUAAUCUUCGGUUGGGGCGACCACGGAAUAAAAACAAACUUCCAUAUGGACUGAGGACUAACCUUAAAACCAAGAAAAACAUUUCUAAGUCACAGAAUUUCUGACCACACAGAUCCGGCAAAUUGCCGAUCAAUGGACCAAGUUACCCUAGGGAUAACAGCGCAAUCCCCUUUUAGAGUUCCUAUCGACAAGGGGGUUUACGACCUCGAUGUUGGAUCAGGAC
Molecule: ribosomal RNA, 484 nt
Filed under: Osteogaster cf. aeneus 'macrosteus'
Lineage: Eukaryota; Metazoa; Chordata; Actinopteri; Siluriformes; Callichthyidae
Description: Corydoras cf. aeneus 'macrosteus' partial 16S ribosomal RNA
Rfam family: Bacterial large subunit ribosomal RNA
Source: RNAcentral